UGUAUGUUUGUAUGUGUGUGUGUAUGUGUGUGUGUGUGUCUAUAUAUAUAUAUAUAUAUAUAUAUUAGUAAUUAAUUGCUAUGCUAUAAAUGAAAACACUACUGUUUCAAGUUUAACAUUAAUGAAUGUUUCAAAUGUUAAUAUAUUUGGUUCCAACCUAAAUACAAAAUAAUCCUAGAAGCUGGAAUAUAAAGAUUGCUAUUUCUUUCCCGUUUAGGAAAGUAAUAAUUUGUUGAAACUUCUUAUUGGUCGACAAUCAGAAACUUUGUUUACAUCCCCUCUUCUAAACACAAUCCGUUUGUUUUGUAAAGUUCAACUCAAGAAAAGUAUUGCAAUAUGUGUGAAGUUCUUCGCUACCCUUAGUAUUUGCUAAAACCAAUAAGAAAGAAUGGGUGCAAUGUAAUUUAUCAGAUAAUGACUUUCACAUAAAUGAAAAUUCCCAAUAUACCUUCGGAUUGCAAUGGAGUUGACCUGACCAUAAGAAAUUACUUCAAUUUUACCGCAAAGGUUCCAAUAAAAAUAGUACUACCAAAAGUCUGAAUUAGAAGUGCAGGAUAUACUUGUUGCAUAUAGAAAACAAUAUGGAAUGCACCUAACAGGCCAAAAAAAAGGAUCCGUAAGAAUAAACAACAAAAAAAUAGUACACUGACAACAAUGAGCAAUAAGCAUCAGAAAAAAGGAGAACAAACAAUAAAAGCAAUGGAACUGACCUGACCAUACGAAGUUACUUCAAUUUUACCGCAAAGGCUCCAAUAAAAAUAGUACUACCAAAAGUCUGAAUUAGAAGUGCAGGAUAUACUUGCUGCAUAUAGAAAAGCAAUAUGGAAUGCAUAGAACAGGCCAAAAAAAGGAU
This 853-nucleotide long non-coding RNA is filed under the name Nicotiana benthamiana. RNAcentral describes it as "long non-coding RNA (NBEN_LNC021009)". Lineage: Eukaryota; Viridiplantae; Streptophyta; Magnoliopsida; Solanales; Solanaceae. The record is from RNAcentral.